AUGCGUAGCCAAUGGAUGUACUUGUACAGUGCCAGUGAAUACAGCACAUCCAUGCACAGUGACGGUUCACCACCACUAUCUCAGGUUUACCCUUUUGGCAUCAAUCAUUCUAGGGUAAUAAACAUCACAUCGAUCAACAUGAUUGCAGCGAAGCCCUUCAGCGUUUUCAGCAUCAGAUCUUCUAGGGUUGCGUCAACGCUUGUCCAGCACUGCACAUAUUGCUCCUCGCACUUCACUCGUCUCAAUACCGUGAAGGAUUCAGCAAUGGCCAACCUAACAGGAAGGGGGGAAAUAGGUUAA
RNAcentral lists this ribosomal RNA (300 nucleotides) under Triticum aestivum (bread wheat). RNAcentral's name for it is "partial small subunit ribosomal RNA". Lineage: Eukaryota; Viridiplantae; Streptophyta; Magnoliopsida; Poales; Poaceae. The record is from RNAcentral.